Long non-coding RNA from Halichondria panicea, 2392 nucleotides. RefSeq lists it as uncharacterized. The record is from RefSeq and is a predicted model, not a curated record. The transcript is spliced from 10 exons. Lineage: Eukaryota; Metazoa; Porifera; Demospongiae; Suberitida; Halichondriidae.
CCCACCUGCCACUGGUCCAGCCAAUCAACCACAUGCUUCUCUAGCAUGUGCAUCUUUGGUAUGACGGUUGCUUGAGGAAAUUGCUCCCGAUAAAAUGUCAUAAAGGUGGAGAUGUGAGUACCUUUGGAGUAAAUUUACAUGGGUGACACAAAACUUCCGCUGGAUCUUCUCAGCACUCGUAACUAUGGACGGCUCAUAACUGCUUCUCAAUGUUCCUCACCUGUAGAGUGAUAUUCAAAUUUACGCGUGCGAAGCUUUCUCCUCAAAUUCUGAGCGGAGUGCUGUGAGUCGAGGAUCGUCUUCCUCCUCACCUCCUCACCUUCACCAAACACACAGAGCAAGGCCACCAGGUCAUUGAGUUGAGCCACUUCUUCGUUUACCCUAUACAUUUAUUUUAUUGCUUUAUGUGUUCCAUGUAAAUUUAAUCACCUGUCUAGCUCAUCCUUGAGGGCUCUCUCUCUCACAGAGUCACUCACAGAGGUACUCAUGAAGUUUGAGUAUGAAGGGCCACCCCUCUCGCGACUAUCUUCAAACCAUGAGACUGCAUUGUCAAGCACAUGACUCCAUCAAUUGGAAGAGCCGGUAAAAUAUCCCUAAACUGAUGUGCAGGGCAGGCAAACCUGCAUUUCCAUUUUGGAAUAAGGAUCCCUCUGGUGGUCUGUGACCAUACUGGCAGUGCUUCUGCUUUGAACAGUAGUGGGCAGGUUCCUUAGCUGUUCUGAUGUUGUCAAGCACCACAAGUGUCAAGCACCACAAGCAACAGUGCCAACCUAUUCAGAAUUUCACGUAAAGUAAGGCUGUCCACCUCAUCUUCGAACCUCUGUAGUGCGAUCUUCAGGUUGGUAACGUUGUCGGGAGCCUCAGAUAUUAACAGGGGAAUUAGGAUGCUUAUCUCCACCCAACUUGACCCAGAACUUGACCCAGAUCUCGUCAGCAGGUAUCUUCCCUUCAUGCCAAUGUGCCGGCCAUGCUUGACUGGAAAUGUGAAGGGAACAAGCUGACACUUAAGAUUAUCUAUUCCUAUGAGAGAGUUAGCUUCAGCCCGCAUCUUCUUCUCAGACGCAGAAGGAAAAAUUAAAAGAGCUUGUUCCUGGGAAUCAUGAGAACAGACUGGAUACCUAAACUUCGGCUGACUGAAAACGUAACCUGGAAGCAUCAACUUAUCCCGAUCUUCCUUCCCUGCAGUCUUGACCUCGUUGCUCACCUCCGCUCACUCUCUUCCUGAUGUCCUGCAGCUCACUACUGCGCCGUCUCAGGGUGGGGUGGUUUGGCUUGCAGUGCCGCUGGACACGCUAGAAUGCUGGAGUUGCGCAUGCUGCGCUUGAUGAGGACAGUUUUCAGUUUCUUCAAAUGGGGACAAGGACAGUUCUUCAGGUCUGCUGAGGGCUGCUGGUUUGAAGUGUGUGCAUGCACACUUGCUGUCAUGGUGGGCCUUGUGGUGUUUUAAGCACCCGUGUUUCCUGCACACACUGCACGUGACUCUCAAAAUGAGGAGGUUGUAUUGAGGAGGUUGUAUUGCUUCAAGAUCAUCAAGGUGUCCUGAUUGGCAACAAGGGCAUGAUGUCGUCUGAGACUCUUGUAGACACUGGCACAGACAAUCUGCACAGACAAGACUACCGCACGUCUUGAGUUCGAUAGAAGGAGCUAUCAGCUGGAUGGCUGACUGAAAUGAGCCUUUUGCCGGUCUGCCGUUGCCGGUCUGCCAGGAGGUCGUCGUGCCUGUCAGAGCAGACAUAUCUCCGACCUGAGGGACCUUUCUUGUUCUUAAAGAGAGAUCCACAAACCCUGCAGUGCCUGCAAAGUGCCUCAAGAUGUUCUUGACUCAUUCCUGAAGGUUGAUGCAAAUGAAUUGUCUGUUUUUGUUCAUUAUAUAUCAAUGUGCAUGUGUAAAUAUCGUAAAUUUGUGUCAUGUUUCAGACCUAUAUUGUUGCUGCCAAAAAAUUUUGUCCAAUACCUGUUGUUGUCGAAACUGUAGUAUGGAACUUCCUCUUUCAGUUGUUGCAAAUUCCACUUCAAAGAAACACUCUGGUAAGUCAGUGAGUAGCUAUCUUGUAGUUGAUACCUUUAACAGGUGCAGUGUUGUUUCUAGCUGCGCUGUUGUUAUGCGGGUGCACAUGACACUCAUAACUUUCAUGUGACUUCAAUGAAUAACAAACAAGUUGCUAUGGGUAUAAGUUUGCACAAAACAGGAUUGUUCAAAAACCACACCCACUUUUCAAUAUUUCGUUGAAUUGCAGUCCGUUCUAAUUACAAACUAAGUGGAGGUCUUCUGAAAAGGCUGCAAUGGCAUGGCAUUCAGCAUUAUUUUGCAAAUCCACGAAAGUAAACUAAACUCUUACUUGCACUUGAUUCAUCCACUUGAUUCAUCCUUGAGCAGCCUACACACACACAC